Molecule: long non-coding RNA, 595 nt
Organism: Uranotaenia lowii
Lineage: Eukaryota; Metazoa; Arthropoda; Insecta; Diptera; Culicidae
Exons: 3
Source: RefSeq, a predicted model, not a curated record
UGUUAGCAUUUUUGGCAGCGCAUUAAAUAUUCGGUUUUGAUUAUAUUUUACUGUUUCUAAGUCUGCCCGGUUAUGCCGAACAAGAUCACAAUCAAAGAACUGGAAGAUCCGAGAAGUCAUCAGAUCCGGCGGAACAAAUGUGAAAACCGGUGGUAUAGCCCUCGUCCAGCAGUGGAAAAUGUUGUUCCGCAAUCGCAAUGGAGCAGUAAGUGGCAAAAAAAAGAGCCGCUCCUCUAUAGUUCUAAUCACAAUGAUGUGCUAUGAAAUUGGGUUCCAGAAAAGAUAACACCCGUUUAUAUAUGAGCAACACAUUAAGGAACGGCAGCUCCAAAUGAAUGGAUCCUAUUCGUGAACAGCCGGAGCUGUUCCGGAAAAUUUUCAGUUAGGGGGAAUUUCGAUUGAGAUUCGAUUUUUUUCCGACGACCGGCUAGAUGGUCACACACAAGAAAGUCAUUCUAAACUGCCGGAACAAAACAAAUUGGAAUAUUUACAUUUUCGUCGACACUAAUAGAAGUUUCAUAGUGAGCCGGAUACAAAAAGCCCUAAUUCGCCCGGAGUUGGGAUUUUUGUCCUUCAACAUGUUAUGAAUCAAUUA